Molecule: non-coding RNA, 90 nt
Organism: Mycena vulgaris
Lineage: Eukaryota; Fungi; Basidiomycota; Agaricomycetes; Agaricales; Mycenaceae
Source: the annotation of a GenBank genome assembly
CCGACUUUAGCUCAGUUGGCAGAGCAUCAGACUGUAAUGGUUACCUUACGUAAUAUCUGGGUGUCGCCUGUUCGAACCAGGCAAGUCGGA